UCAAAAUGCAAAGGACGACCAGAACGUCCGGAAACUAGUCUUGAGUAUGUGCUAUUUUGUCAUUGAUUGUUGUAUGUUUUUUUGGUGUUGUUUGGAGUCAAAAAUCAGUGAGAUGACACUAAAACCUAGAGGGAAAUGUUUAGGGUCAAAAUGUCCGUUUAUGACUCUCCAAGGACCGCCCUAAGGUUCCUAGAGGAGAACUCAACCUUGGGCCGACAAUCUUCUGCAGGAAGAAAGAAUUGUUCAUAGAUGAUACCAAUCCGUGUCGCGGAUUUGGUUCACCAAGGACCAAAUUUUUGGUCCGCGUCGCGGAAUCUUAUGUACCAAAAUUUGUUUCCAAAAAACUUGUGGGAACAUCUUCGCGACGUGGACUUUUUCCCCGAAGAUAAUUUCGAAAAUUAAAGUUAAGUAUGACUUUUAAAAAGGUCCAAUUAAUGUAGAGGUAUUUUGGGUACUUUGGGUGUGUAUUAUAUAUAGGUUUUUGGUCAUUAUACACCCAUUAAUCUAAUCAUAAAUCCUAACACUCAAUUAAAAUCAUAAAAUUUUACAUGCUCUCCCUUCUCUCUAAAUUCUCUCUCUAGUUCAAUCCUUUGUUGAUGACCUUCAAGUUACAAGGAAGAAGGUCGAAUUCUCCAAGGUUUCAAGCUUAAUUUCGUGGGAUUUCUUCAAUAUAGGUGGCAAGUGAGGAUUCAAUUUAACGUUGAAGCUUGGGAAAUAACAUUCUCUCAAGUUCGGUAUGUCCUCAUAUGUUCUAGGACAUGACUUGUUUUUUUGUUUUAGAUUUUCGAAUACUUUGUAAUGGACAAUAGUUUCUUUUCAAAUUGAUGAAAGGGUUGUGACCUUU
This is a long non-coding RNA of Solanum lycopersicum (tomato), 844 nucleotides long. RefSeq lists it as uncharacterized. NCBI's taxonomy places the organism in Eukaryota, Viridiplantae, Streptophyta, Magnoliopsida, Solanales, Solanaceae. The record is from RefSeq and is a predicted model, not a curated record.